AUCGCAGUCUGCGUCAUCGCUGUGGCGGCAGUCGCCCGCCAAAGAGGAAAGUCCGGACAGUAUAGGGCAUCUCGCUACCUAACGGGUAGGAUUCGUUGCAAAACGGAGACGGCAAGUGCAACAGAGAGUAGACCGCCACGCUGCGCAAGCGGCGGGGUAAGGGUGAAAGGGUGGGGUAAGAGCCCACCAGUGUCGGUGGCAACAUCGGCAGCUAGGUAAACCCCGGGAGCUGAAAGGCCAUGUAAACCGGCGUUGUCUGUCAAGGACCUUCCUGUCUCGCGACGGGCAUAAGUG
Molecule: RNase P RNA, 294 nt
Filed under: Bacteroidia bacterium
Lineage: Bacteria; Pseudomonadati; Bacteroidota; Bacteroidia
Description: partial RNase P RNA component class A
Rfam family: Bacterial RNase P class A
About the family: Ribonuclease P (RNase P) is a ubiquitous endoribonuclease, found in archaea, bacteria and eukarya as well as chloroplasts and mitochondria. Its best characterised activity is the generation of mature 5'-ends of tRNAs by cleaving the 5'-leader elements of precursor-tRNAs. Cellular RNase Ps are ribonucleoproteins.
Source: RNAcentral